Molecule: small nuclear RNA, 317 nt
Filed under: Jaculus jaculus (lesser Egyptian jerboa)
Lineage: Eukaryota; Metazoa; Chordata; Mammalia; Rodentia; Dipodidae
Description: 7SK RNA (ENSJJAG00000005497.1)
Rfam family: 7SK RNA (bases 1-281)
About the family: 7SK was discovered as an abundant small nuclear RNA in the mid-70s but a possible function has only recently been suggested. Two independent studies have found that 7SK RNA binds the CDK9/cyclin T complex (known as elongation factor P-TEFb).
Source: RNAcentral
GGUUGCAAGGGCGAUCUGACUGUGACGCCAGUCUCCCCAUUGAUCACCAGGGCUGGCUCGGCUAGUCUGGCUGGCUAGGCGGGUGUCCCCUUCCUCUCACACUGUUCCAUGUGUGUCCCUCCUGAAGCUGCAUGCUCUGCCAAAAAGGACGGCCUUCCUCAAACAGAGGAGGGCCAGUCUCCGUCAAGGGUACACACGUAGCUGCACUUCCCUGCUAGAACCUCCAAACGAGCUCUCAAAGCUUUUUGUGCAUGUCUGCAAAUCUCCCAUCAACCAAAACUGCUGAGAUGGCCAAUGGGUGAAGGAACUAUGUAAUC